GACGAACGCUGGCGGCGUGCCUAAUACAUGCAAGUUGAGCGCUGAAGGUUGGUACUUGUACCAACUGGAUGAGCAGCGAACGGGUGAGUAACGCGUGGGGAAUCUGCCUUUGAGCGGGGGACAACAUUUGGAAACGAAUGCUAAUACCGCAUAAAAACUUUAAACACAAGUUUUAAGUUUGAAAGAUGCAAUUGCAUCACUCAAAGAUGAUCCCGCGUUGUAUUAGCUAGUUGGUGAGGUAAAGGCUCACCAAGGCGAUGAUACAUAGCCGACCUGAGAGGGUGGUCGGCCACAUUGGGACUGAGACACGGCCCAAACUCCUACGGGGGGCAGCAGUAGGGAAUCUUCGGCCAUGGACGAAAGUCUGACCGGGCAACGCCGCGUGAGUGAAGAAGGUUUUCGGGUCGUAAAACUCUGUUGGUAGAGAAGAACGUUGGUGGGAGUGGAAAGCGCAUCAAGUGACGGUAACUACCCAGAAAGGGACGGCUAACUACGUG
Molecule: ribosomal RNA, 497 nt
Filed under: uncultured bacterium
Lineage: Bacteria
Description: partial 16S ribosomal RNA
Rfam family: Bacterial small subunit ribosomal RNA
Source: RNAcentral